This 3057-nucleotide long non-coding RNA is filed under the name Marmota monax (woodchuck). The record is from RNAcentral. Lineage: Eukaryota; Metazoa; Chordata; Mammalia; Rodentia; Sciuridae.
GUUAUGGUCAGGGCAGCAGGGAUGUGGGGGCGCUGGGGCAGCCUGGUAUGGGGAGGAGCAGGGUGUUAGGCAGACAGGGCUGCAACUGGACCACAGGUCACCUGGCCACUGUGGGGAGUGGCUGGAGAGGCAGCAGGGAGGUUCCCUGGACUCUGACACAGCCCAGCAGGUCAGCCUAGCAGGCCCUGGACUGGGCAUGGGCUCUUGUCCUAGCACCUGGGGCCUGGCUAAGACUAGGCACUCACCUCCUGGCCGGUCAGGGCAGUUGGUUGGGUUGACUGGGAGCCUGGGGCCCUCCCUCCCGUUGCACCGUCUGUCUUGGAGGAAGGCUGUGGGGCUGCCCCCUGUUGCUCCCCACCCAGUUUCAGGAGCUUGGCCUGGGGACUGGGACAUCUCUGUUCUUGAACCAGCAUUUCAGAAUAUUCCUAAAAAGGAGAAUCGGUCAAGAAUCCCAGAGCCUGGGCUGUUUUUCUAACUGGGAGGACGGCAGCUUGGUAUACCUCCGAAGGGCCCCUGGGUCGGUGGGUGGCAAGUGCACUGCCCUCUGAGGCCCUCCAGGCUACAGUCAGCCUUCCCUCUGCCCGGCUGGGCAGUGACCCCCAGGUCAGCAGCCCAUCACCCAGGCAGGAAGCCCAGGGACACAGAGGCUCCAGGCAGGGAGGACCAACUCCUUCAGUUCAGCUCCCCGUUCCCCUGUCCUCCCCCAGCCUGUCCCCCAUCCUCUCCUGUGGUGUGGCCAGGCAGGGCAGGGCAGACAGGCUAACUGCCCCGUGCUGAGUUGGGUCAACACGGACCGCCCUUCAGAAGGCAGACUCCCCUGUUCACCAGCAGGCUUCUGCCCACUGCGGCUGGGGUGCCCAGCCCUGCUCUACGGCUGCCUCCAGACACCUCCUCUGCCUCCUCCUUCAGGCUCCUGAGGUAGCCCCUGCCAUUCUUCCUGCAGGACAAUGGCCAAGGGGUCUCAACUGCUGGACCACCCCCAGGAUCCUCCAGCGCUGCCUGCCAACCCCUCCAUCCUGGUCAGACGCCAGCCCCGGGAGGCAAAGUCUGGGGCACCCACAGCCAGGCUGUCUCCUGCCUGGAGAGACCGGAGCUGGGCCUCCUGCCCCGACACCGAAGGUGAUUUAAAAUUAUACUCAACGUGGAAGUGACCUCUUCAGCCACGUAGAGCACACAGCUCAGUGGUGUCAGGCACAUUCUUGCUGCUAUGAGCCAAACUCACUGUCCACCUCCAGAGAUCCCCCAAAUUCCCAAGGGGAACCCAGGCACCCACAAGCACUAGCUCCCGCCCUGGUGCCCGCUUGCCUGUCAGCACAGGCCCCGCAGGGAGCUGGUCAGUGGGCAGCUUUGGUCCUUCUGCGGCCCAGCUCCCCAUCCCGCAGGCUCACCCACGCCUCAGGCUGACAGGAGGCCAGGCCAGGCCAGCAGCCUCACCCAGGAAGGGCUGGCAAGCCAGAGCGACCCCAGGACUGUUUGAGGAAGGAUGUUCCGGGAGGGGGCACUGGGGAGAGGCCAGCAGCACACUGACCUCUCCAGGCUCCACGUGGACCACACUCAGAGGUGGGGAUGAGGCACGCAGAGCUGUACCUGAGCUCUCCGUCGGCUAGGGCCCAGCUCAGCACCCACCCUGUGCAGUUGGAAGGAUGAGGGCGGGGGCCGCCGGAGCCCACCCUGACCUCACUCCCCCAGCCACUUCCCUCCCAGCCAGGGCUUCCCAACCAGCAAAAGAACUCAGGGCUGGUGAACACAGCCCUGUCCUGCGGGUCCCCACAUUCUUGUGCUGACCCCUCUGGGCUGGGCCGGAAGUGCCCUGCCCUCAGGGGCUGUGCUAGGAGGCAGGGACAGAUUGGAAGUCCCCCCAGCAUCCCACCCCAUUUGUCAUAGGCCCAUUAGGUCCUGACAGCUGCUUCCCCUCUGUCCAGUUAGGGGCGGGGCUGAGGCUUCCGGGUGCCCAUCAAUCAAAGGCCCUGCACCGUGGUUUAGGCAGGGCGGGGGGCCUCUGAGGAAGGACAUCAUGAAAGCAGCCAGAUUGCUGGAGCACAUGGCGGGGAGGUGGCUCCCCAUACGAGGAGCAGAGUUGUGCAGUGCCCCCAAGGUCACCUUGGUGGACAUCCAGAACCAAGGGCACCUGCCAGCACCACAGGGAGCCAGGUCUAAUUUGUGGGCUCCCCCACCCUCACAGCAAUAACUCUGGGCCUCAGUUUGCCCAGUACCUGAGCCAUGGGUGCCUGGGAGGCUAACUGGACCCCACGCCACCCUGGCAGAGUUCAGCCACUGGCCUCCUGGGGCUGAUUACUGAUGGCCCUAGGCUGGGAAAACAGAGGGCCAGUGGCUCUUCUGGCCUCCUCCACUGGACACCCAGUCCCCUGCCCCACUGCCAUCCUGGGGCUGCAGGCAGGCCCAGGGGCAGGAGAGGCCUGCCGGGCACUACGCGCUCCUGGCCAGGCCUGCCCGGCAGGCGCUAGUUAUGUAUACCACAGGCUGUUUAUUGAUAGGGCCUGAUGGGAGGCACACUUCAGCCUGGGCCCCAGACACCCACAGCCCCACCGCGGGGGCAAAGGGCCCGGUCUCUUGGGAAGCAGCUUUCAAGUGCCCCCAGCCUCCUUCCCUUGUAGGGACACAGAGGCCACCAGGGAGGGUCAGCCCCUGCCCAGGCCUGCCUCCAGGCCCCAUGUGGACCACACUCAGAGGUGGGGUGAGGAACGUAGCGCUGGGGACUGGCCCUCCUGCUGCAGGCUCCAGACUUGGGAGUCUGAGGUGGGCCAGGGCAGUCUUCUCAUGGUCCCUCCAGGCAGUGCCCAGGACCCCUGGGCUGAAAUGGCGUUGACACUUCCUAUCUAGAAUCUGAAGGCGCUCCUGUGCGCUGGAUCUGGCUACCCUCCCAGGGCGGGGGCAAACACCUACCCUGGAGCCCACCAAGGGGACAGAGGGAGGAGCCCUCCUCAUGGGGGGGGGCAGACCCUGGGUGCAGGAGAGGGCCUGCCGGGCACCACAGGAGAGGCCAACCCACCUGCCCGCCCCAAGGCUCUGGCUCCGUAUUUUAACUGCCCACUUGCC